Molecule: ribosomal RNA, 253 nt
Filed under: uncultured bacterium
Lineage: Bacteria
Description: partial 16S ribosomal RNA
Rfam family: Bacterial small subunit ribosomal RNA
Source: RNAcentral
UACGAAGGGGGCUAGCGUUGUUCGGAAUUACUGGGCGUAAAGCGCACGUAGGCGGAUCGCUCAGUCAGGGGUGAAAUCCCAGAGCUCAACUCUGGAACUGCCUUUGAUACUGUCGAUCUAGAGUAUGGAAGAGGUGAGUGGAAUUCCGAGUGUAGAGGUGAAAUUCGUAGAUAUUCGGAAGAACACCAGUGGCGAAGGCGGCUCACUGGUCCGGUACUGACGCUGAUGUGCGAAAGCGUGGGGAGCAAACAGG